GGCGGGUCUGCCGAUGGGUAUGCACUUGUCGAGCCGUAUUUCCUCCCGGAGACCUCGCCUACUCUUAACUGAGGGGGGCGGGGGAAACGGGAUUUUUACUUUGAGGAAAUCAGAGUGUUCAAAGCAGGCUUUUGUAUGUAUGUGUUAGCAUGGGAUAAUGAAAUAAGACUUUGGUGCUAUUUUGUUGGUUUCGAACACCGAAAUAAUGAUUAAUAGGGAUAGUCAGGGGCACUCGUAUUCCACCGAAAGAGGUGAAAUUCUUAUACCAAUGGAAGACGAACUUCUGCGAAAGCAUUUGCCAGGGAUGUUUUCACUGAUCAAGAACGAAAGUUAGGGGAUCGAAGACGAUCAGAUACCGUCGUAUUCUUAACCAUAAACCAUGCCGACUAGGGAUUGGGGGAUGUUAUUUUUACCACUCCUUCACCACCUUACGAGAAAUCAAAGUCU
Molecule: ribosomal RNA, 447 nt
Filed under: uncultured eukaryote
Lineage: Eukaryota
Description: bacterial SSU rRNA
Rfam family: Eukaryotic small subunit ribosomal RNA
Source: RNAcentral